This 1433-nucleotide long non-coding RNA is filed under the name Parus major (Great Tit). Its description in RNAcentral is "lncRNA (ENSPMJG00000004322.1)". The record is from RNAcentral. Lineage: Eukaryota; Metazoa; Chordata; Aves; Passeriformes; Paridae.
CUGAAAAACCCUCCAAAAAUUCCUGAAAACACCUCAAAACACCUCUGAAAACACCUUCAAAAUACCACCCAAAGCAGCGUAGAAACUGCCCCAAAAAUCCCCCCAAAAGACCAUGAGCUCACCUUAGAGCAGCAGAAAUCCCCCAAAACCUGAAGCCCCUCUGAGGGGGCUCCGAUCUCCCCCAGUUUUGGGGUCACUGGGGGCCCCCACCCUCCAUUUAUACCAGACUCGGGGUUCCCCCAUAAAUUUGGGGUCUCCCCCAGAUACCCAAGACCCGGAGCCCCCCUCCCCAAUUCGGGAUUUUCCCCAUCCCCGCUUGUGUCAGACCGAGGGUUCCCUUCCCUUCCCAAACUCUCCAAACUGGGCUCCCCCCUCCCCAAAAAGCCCCGAUUCGGGGUGUCCCUCCGUAACCCUGCGGGCCCAGGGGGUUGUGAGCAGCCCCCUGAGCCCCGCUUUCCCCGUUUCUCCCCGUUUUUUCCCCGAUUCCCAGGUUCCGCUCCAAGUACCACCCGGAUGAGGCCGGGAAGCGGCAGCAGGAGGCCCAGGCCGCCCUCAGGAACCGCCUCGGGGUCUUCCUCUACCUCUGGGAGCACGGCUGGUUCGACAACCUGCUCCUGGACAUCGACCGUGCCCCCCAAAUCAUCAAAACCCUCGACGCAGCGGUGAUUAAGAUGGAAGGGGGUACGGAGCACGACCUGCGGAUCCUGGAGCAGGAGGAGGAGGAGGAGCGGACGGAAAAGGCCGAAGGCCCCAAAAAGGAGGAGCCGCGGCCACCAGAGCCCCCUGGGAAAGGCCCCACAGAGCGCCCCGAUGGCGAUGACAGCACCAAGGCUGAAGGGGCGGAGCCAGGGGCGGAGCCUGCAGCGGGGGCAGGGCCAGAGGAAGAGGAGGAGGGGCCAGACAAGGGGCCCAAGGCUGAGGAUGGUGACAAGGAGGGCGGAGCCAAGGUAAGUGGACACGCCCCCAAAUGACCACACCCCACAAAACUCUGCCCCCACAUUACUGCAGUAACGCUGAUGAGGCCCCGCCCCUUUUCAUUAACCACCCCGACUCAUAACGAGCCACACCCCUUACUAACGAACCACAUCCCUCCCCAAGAGCCCCACCCCAUGGAAAGUACCGCCCCUCUACACAGGCCACACCCCUUUAAAGGCCUCUCCCCUUCAAGCGCCCUGUAGGCUCCUCCCAUCCUCAUUAAAUCACUUUGAGCCCCACCCCUUUCACCCUGGCCACGCCCCCUGACGCCCCCCCCACGCUGUCCCUGCAGGGGCGGCCGCGCCAGCGCAGCCGGGACAGCGAGGACGGGGACAGUGACAGCGGGGACAGCGAGGGGGGGACACGGAGAGCCCCGGGCAAGGACGGUGAGGGGACAGGGAGGGGACACAGAGAGGGGACAGGGGACACAGGGGACAGCGAGGGGGGGACACGGAGAG